GACGAACCGAGCGAACGUUAUUCGGAAUCACUGGGCUUAAAGGGCGCGUAGGCGGGCGGUCAAGUCAGGGGUGAAAGCCCCCAGCUCAACUGGGGAAGUGCCUCUGAUACUGGCCGUCUCGAGGGAGGUAGGGGCGUGCGGAACUUCCGGUGGAGCGGUGAAAUGCGUAGAUAUCGGAAGGAACACCGGUGGCGAAAGCGGCGCGCUGGACCUCUUCUGACGCUGAGGCGCGAAAGCCAGGGGAGCGAACGGG
RNAcentral lists this ribosomal RNA (253 nucleotides) under uncultured bacterium. RNAcentral's name for it is "partial 16S ribosomal RNA". It matches the Rfam family "Bacterial small subunit ribosomal RNA", at positions 524 to 776 of the family's 1533-position model. The record is from RNAcentral.